CGAGCUUCGGCUCACUAUCGGAUCGUUUUAGAAACAUCAGUGGCCAACAGAUCGCCAGAUCGUUGAGCUGCAUUGGCGGGAUUUCGCCGUCUACGUUUCUCUUUCUUCGCGGACGAACACGCGCUGGGCCUGCUUCAAGCAGGAUCCCACGGUCCCUGACGGGAUAUGCGUUAGGGGCUUGUAGCUCAGUUGGUUAGAGCGCGCGCUUGAUAAGCGUGAGGUCGGAAGUUCAAGUCUUCCCAGGCCCACCACUUUCAUCGAGUGAGCAUUCGUCUUCUGGUUACGGGGCCAUAGCUCAGCUGGGAGAGCGCGUGCUUUGCAAGCAUGAGGUCGUCGGUUCGAUCCCGUCUGGCUCCACCAGAUGGUUUGAUCACCGAGAUCUUGCACCGUCGUCCGCGAAACAUCACUUCGCAUCCUGCUAGUCUGGAUAGACAGCAAGAUGCGUGUUUUCUGACAUCGUAAAGAGGAGAUCGAUCCGAGUUGGGUCGUGCAGCAAAUUGUUGCGCGAGCCUUCAUUAUCUCCGGAUCAUUUUCGGCGCUCGCGUCCGACCGCAAGGUUGGCUGCGAGUUGUAAAAUGAUCCUUUUAGCGAAGCUUGACCGCCUCGCUAUCGGAACGAUCUUACGAAGCAAGCUGGUCUUUCUAGUCAAUGUCCGGCUGCACAUAGCGUUCAUCGAGGGCGCGUGCCGCAAGGCAAUUGUGCAGACAACAUUCUGCCGAGUGUGUGGACAUUGAUAAUGAGAGCAAUCAAGUGCCUUAAGGGUGUUCGGUGGAUGCCUUGGCGCUGAGAGGCGAUGAAGGACGUGCUACGCUGCGAUAAGCCGUGGGAG
Molecule: unclassified non-coding RNA, 829 nt
Filed under: Bradyrhizobium sp.
Lineage: Bacteria; Pseudomonadati; Pseudomonadota; Alphaproteobacteria; Hyphomicrobiales; Nitrobacteraceae
Description: partial 16S-23S ribosomal RNA intergenic spacer
Rfam family: tRNA (bases 175-248)
Source: RNAcentral